Molecule: ribosomal RNA, 301 nt
Filed under: uncultured bacterium
Lineage: Bacteria
Description: partial 16S ribosomal RNA
Rfam family: Bacterial small subunit ribosomal RNA
Source: RNAcentral
CAGCAGCCGCGGUAAUACCGAGGGUGCGAGCGUUAAUCGGAUUUACUGGGCGUAAAGCGUGCGUAGGCGGCUUUUUAAGUCGGAUGUGAAAUCCCUGAGCUUAACUUAGGAAUUGCAUUCGAUACUGGGAAGCUAGAGUAUGGGAGAGGAUGGUAGAAUUCCAGGUGUAGCGGUGAAAUGCGUAGAGAUCUGGAGGAAUACCGAUGGCGAAGGCAGCCAUCUGGCCUAAUACUGACGCUGAGGUACGAAAGCAUGGGGAGCAAACAGGAUUAGAUACCCCUGUAGUCCCUGUCUCUUAUAU